GUUAUAUGGUCAAGCGAAUAAGCGCACACGGUGGAUGCCUUGGCGGUCAGAGGCGAUGAAGGACGUGACAGCCUGCGAAAAGCGUGGGGGAGCUGGCAAUAAGCAUUGAUCCCGCGAUGUCCGAAUGGGGAAACCCACUCCGCAAGGAGUAUCGUGCAGUGAAUACAUAGCUGUACGAAGCGAACCCGGUGAACUGAAAUAUCUAAGUAACCGGAGGAAAAGAAAUCAACCGAGAUUCCCUAAGUAGUGACGAGCGAACGGGGAGCAGCCCUUAAGUUGAGUAAGGUUUAGCAAAACGAGUUGGAAAGCUCGGCCAUAGACGGUGACAGCCCGGUAUGCGAAAGACCUCAUUCAAUGAAAUCGAGUAAGGCGGGGCACGAGAAACCCUGUCUGAACAUGGGGGGACCAUCCUCCAAGGCUAAAUACUCCUGACCGACCGAUAGUGAACCAGUACCGUGAGGGAAA
Molecule: ribosomal RNA, 465 nt
Filed under: Caulobacter sp. Root656
Lineage: Bacteria; Pseudomonadati; Pseudomonadota; Alphaproteobacteria; Caulobacterales; Caulobacteraceae
Description: bacterial LSU rRNA
Rfam family: Bacterial large subunit ribosomal RNA
Source: RNAcentral